UACGGAGGAUCCGAGCGUUAUCCGGAAUUAUUGGGUUUAAAGGGUGCGUAGGCGGCUUUUUAAGUCAGCGGUGAAAUUUUGCAGCUUAACUGUAACAGUGCCGUUGAUACUGGGGAGCUAGGAUUUGGUUGCUGUGGGUGGAAUGUGUGGUGUAGCGGUGAAAUGCUUAGAGAUCACACAGAAUAUCGAUUGCGAAGGCAGCUCACAAAGCCAAGAUUGACGCUGAGGCACGAAAGUGUGGGGAUCAAACAGGAUUA
RNAcentral lists this ribosomal RNA (257 nucleotides) under uncultured prokaryote. RNAcentral's name for it is "partial 16S ribosomal RNA". It matches the Rfam family "Bacterial small subunit ribosomal RNA", at positions 524 to 780 of the family's 1533-position model. The record is from RNAcentral.